AACAAACGCUGGCGGCAUGCCUAACACAUGCAAGUCGAACGAGACCUUCGGGUCUAGUGGCGCACGGGUGCGUAACGCGUGGGAACCUGCCCUUAGGUUCGGAAUAACUCCCCGAAAGGGGUGCUAAUACCGGAUAAUGUCUUCGGACCAAAGAUUUAUCGCCUUUGGAUGGGCCCGCGUUGGAUUAGCUUGUUGGUAGGGUAAAAGCCUACCAAGGCGACGAUCCAUAGCUGGUCUGAGAGGAUGAUCAGCCACACUGGGACUGAGACACGGCCCAGACUCCUACGGGAGGCAGCAGUGGGGAAUAUUGGACAAUGGGCGAAAGGCUGAUCCAGCAAUGCCGCGUGAGUGAUGAAGGCCUUAGGGUUGUAAAGCUCUUUUACCCGGGAUGAUAAUGACAGUACCGGGAGAAUAAGCUCCGGCUAACUCCGUG
RNAcentral lists this ribosomal RNA (433 nucleotides) under uncultured bacterium. Its description in RNAcentral is "partial 16S ribosomal RNA". It matches the Rfam family "Bacterial small subunit ribosomal RNA", at positions 29 to 507 of the family's 1533-position model. The record is from RNAcentral.